CCUACGGGUGGCUGCAGUGGGGAAUAUUGCACAAUGGGGGAAACCCUGAUGCAGCAACGCCGCGUGAGUGAUGACGGCCUUCGGUUUGUAAAGCUCUGUCUUCAGGGACGAUAAUGACGGUACCUGAGGAGGAAGCCACGGCUAACUACGUGCCAGCAGCCGCGGUAAUACGUAGGUGGCGAGCGUUGUCCGGAUUUACUGGGCGUAAAGGGAGCGUAGGCGGACUUAUAAGUGGGAUGUGAAAUACCCGGGCUUAACUUGGGUGCUGCAUUUGAAACUGGGAAGCUAGAGUGCAGGAGAGGAGAAUGGAAUUCCUAGUGUAGCGGUGAAAUGCGUAGAGAUUAGGAAGAACACCAGUGGCGAAGGCGAUUCUCUGGACUGUAACUGACGCUGAGGCUCGAAAGCGUGGGGAGCAAACAGGAUUAGAUACCCGUGUAGUC
RNAcentral lists this ribosomal RNA (440 nucleotides) under uncultured bacterium. RNAcentral describes it as "partial 16S ribosomal RNA". It matches the Rfam family "Bacterial small subunit ribosomal RNA", at positions 338 to 795 of the family's 1533-position model. The record is from RNAcentral.